UACGUAGGUGACAAGCGUUGUCCGGAUUUACUGGGCGUAAAGAGCGCGCAGGCGGUCGUUCAAGUCGAGUGUGAAAGCCCCCGGCUCAACUGGGGAGGGUCAUUCGAUACUGAUCGACUCGAAGGCAGGAGAGGGAAGUGGAAUUCCCGGUGUAGUGGUGAAAUGCGUAGAUAUCGAGAGGAACACCUGCGGCGAAGGCGGGUUGCUGGGCCGACACUGACGCUGAUGCGCGAAAGCCAGGGGAGCGAACGGG
Molecule: ribosomal RNA, 253 nt
Filed under: uncultured bacterium
Lineage: Bacteria
Description: partial 16S ribosomal RNA
Rfam family: Bacterial small subunit ribosomal RNA
Source: RNAcentral